Anolis carolinensis (green anole) is the source of this 765-nucleotide long non-coding RNA. RefSeq lists it as uncharacterized. Lineage: Eukaryota; Metazoa; Chordata; Lepidosauria; Squamata; Anolidae. The record is from RefSeq and is a predicted model, not a curated record. The transcript has 4 exons.
GGACAGAGCAUGCGCGCGCUUCCCUCCCUUUCCCCCCCUUCCCUCCCUUUCCCCCCUCUUCUUUGAAACGCAGCCAGCGCGUGCGCACUUCGCCCCUCUGCUGAAGAAUGACCGUUAGGCGGCUCCCAACGGACUUUUUUCGAAACUAAGGGGCGUGGCUUCGUGUGGAGGCGGGGCUUAAGACCCUUUAAAAGCGGCUUCGCGCUUAUUCCAUGGAGGAGAGAUUUGAUGGCUUAGUAGGCCAUAGACAUCUUUAACCUUCCUGAUUCUGCACAAAACACUGGGAGGAGAUUUCUAUAUGUCAACAUUGCAAAUGGAAUACUCAGUUUUUUACCAGCAAGCAGUGCACCUGAUUUGCUGAAAUCUACAUCAUUUUGGAAAUGUAGUUCAAGAGCUUGAUUAAUGAAAUUUCGCACUUCACGUGGAGGGCAGGCCUCAAUAUGGACCGUUCUUUAGAACUUGUUUGGUUGGUGGAAUAUUUCCAACGCUAGAUGGAGCAGCAGACCUGGACAAAGAACCACAGAAAAGCCACUUGUUGCUUAAUGCUUAUGCGUUUUCUAUGGGCUCUUUUUGGAAAGAUAAUAGGAAAACACUGAUGUUUCCUGUUUCCCCAGAUAUAAACCUGAAUCCUAUGAUUAUUCCCAACCUGAGGAGACCUGUUGCAUCAAUGGGAUUGAUCUGUGUAUUGAUUCACCAAUAAACAACUCAUUCCAUGGGCAGAUAGGACAAAAUAAUAGGAUUCGAUUCAUAAUAUUUAGACCACGC